AGUGAACGCUGGCGGCAGGCCUAAUACAUGCAAGUCGAACGGCAGCACAGCAGAGCUUGCUCUGUGGGUGGCGAGUGGCGGACGGGUGAGGAAUACAUGGGAAUCUGCCCAGUCGUGGGGGAUAACGUAGGGAAACUUACGCUAAUACCGCAUGCGCCCUUCGGGGGAAAGCCGGGGACCUUCGGGCCUGGCGCGAUUGGAUGAGCCCAUGUCGGAUUAGCUAGUUGGCGGGGUAAUGGCCCACCAAGGCGACGAUCCGUAGCUGGUCUGAGAGGAUGAUCAGCCACACUGGGACUGAGACACGGCCCAGACUCCUACGGGAGGCAGCAGUUAGGAAUAUUGGACAAUGGGGGAAACCCUGAUCCAGCCAUGCCGCGUGUGUGAUGAAGGCCUUAGGGUUGUAAAGCACUUUCGUUGGGGAUGAUAAUGACCGUACCCAAAGAAGAAGCCACGGCUAAAUUCGUG
RNAcentral lists this ribosomal RNA (465 nucleotides) under uncultured bacterium. RNAcentral describes it as "bacterial SSU rRNA". It matches the Rfam family "Bacterial small subunit ribosomal RNA", at positions 29 to 507 of the family's 1533-position model. The record is from RNAcentral.